GCAUUUUUCCGUUCCUCUAAUUGGUUGAGAUGAAUAUGGACACGAUAUUGACUUUCCUGGAGGGAGUCGUCCGGCGGAAUUAUUAAAAAUUCAUUUUCCAGGUGCGCUUUUCAAGGAAGAGCUCAACUUUGUGAGGCCAGGAGGUCAACCAAAACCCGUUUCAACCCGGAGAACCAUGUUUAGGGGUGGGGGGCACUUUCAGAGAAGCAGGUAUCAGCACGAGAGGUAGUUUACACAGGAGAAAAGACUUUUAUCAGCAUUUCCGAUCACAAUAUCAUCUGCGAACAUCAUAGUCCAAGGGGAUUCCGGUCUAACCUCAUCUGUCAGCCUAUCCAUUACUACCGCAAACAGGAAGGGGCUCAGAGAAGAUCCCUGAUGCAGUCCCACCUCCACCUUAAAUUCUUCUGACACACCAAUGGCCCAUCUCACCGCUGUCUUGCUGUCCUCAUACAUGUGCUGUCCUAUUCUAACAUAUUUCUCCGCCACACCAGACUAUAACAAUAACAAUAACACGUCUAUGAAGAGCAGCGGCUUCUGGGGCUCGAAAGGCGGCUUGUAAUCCAAACACUGCGGGUGACAGCCCCCCAGCCCCACUUGGGUGAAAAGCAGCAGCGUGGUGAGAAGAAGAUUGAGAGGCGAGUCCCAUCCCAGGAUGUGAUGUUGGUUCAGUUUGCAGUUUGAUGUUUAUGGGCGGGAUCCAGCGUCUGACAUUAUCAUCACGUCCGCAUUGAACACCUCCUUGGUGCUGCCAAGGCUCGGAGGCGUAGGUUCUCUUUGCGUCCGGCAUCAAACGCAUUCGGCCUGACUGAAACUGCUGCGGGACUAAGCAAAAUUCCUUAGGAGUGUUCGACCGUUAAAGGAGAUGAGAUGAGCUCCCACCGCUCUGCUGUCAGGGAUGGCAUCCGCAGCACCCGGUGAACCAGCAAAGAAAGAGAGUACAUUCUUGAUGAUUAAUAACAACAAUCAUGCGCACAGACAGAAUUCAACACAAGAGGUCUCAAGCUACGAUGUAUUCACUUAUGCAGCUAGCAGCCCUUCACAAUGGAAUGAAGCUUGUAAAGAGCGAUAGCUCCAUCAUUCCUGGAUCGAUGGCGGCCGGCCCGAAGGCGGACAAAUUCGCUUAGCCGCGAGACUGAGCACAGUGCUGGAGGAAGAAGGAAAACGUGGA
Molecule: long non-coding RNA, 1168 nt
Organism: Syngnathoides biaculeatus (alligator pipefish)
Lineage: Eukaryota; Metazoa; Chordata; Actinopteri; Syngnathiformes; Syngnathidae
Exons: 7
Source: RefSeq, a predicted model, not a curated record